RNAcentral lists this transfer RNA (71 nucleotides) under Actinomadura coerulea. RNAcentral's name for it is "tRNA-Phe". It matches the Rfam family "tRNA". Rfam says of the family: Transfer RNA (tRNA) molecules are approximately 80 nucleotides in length. Their secondary structure includes four short double-helical elements and three loops (D, anti-codon, and T loops). The record is from RNAcentral. Lineage: Bacteria; Bacillati; Actinomycetota; Actinomycetes; Streptosporangiales; Thermomonosporaceae. RNAcentral also lists the same sequence under 1 other name.
GCCUUUGUAGCUUAAUGGUAAAGCGAUUUCUUGAAGCGGAAUACAUGUAAGUUCGAUUCUUUCCAAAGGCA